UCUUCAAGUGGCUCAGAAGAAGCAAAAGUCUGAAGUGGAGAGAAACAAAACUGAAGUGAUUCUGUGGGAAUCAUUUACUCGACGGCGUGAGCUGGAAACUCAAUAUGGUCUUUCUCCUGGACAGUUAUUAUAGUUCUGUGACAUCCACUCCCCUAACACACGCACAAUGGGCCAGACCGCAGCCCCGUUAUGUGUAACUACUAUGAAGGACACGCUCUGAUUGACAAAGACGUAGUACCAGUACAUCCCAGACCCACAGUGAAGCCUCAGAAGAUCCACAGAGGCCUGGGCUCUUGUCUGGUCCAGCACCAACAAUAGAGGAACAGUAGCAACAAAGAGCCAGCAGA
Long non-coding RNA from Periophthalmus magnuspinnatus, 347 nucleotides. RefSeq lists it as uncharacterized. The transcript has 3 exons. The record is from RefSeq and is a predicted model, not a curated record. Lineage: Eukaryota; Metazoa; Chordata; Actinopteri; Gobiiformes; Gobiidae.